Mangifera indica (mango) is the source of this 1518-nucleotide RNA transcript. RefSeq lists it as uncharacterized. The record is from RefSeq and is a predicted model, not a curated record. The transcript is spliced from 3 exons. NCBI's taxonomy places the organism in Eukaryota, Viridiplantae, Streptophyta, Magnoliopsida, Sapindales, Anacardiaceae.
UCCUUUCUUCUUCCUCCGUAGCUGUUUCUACUCUCUGACGGCUUUUAGCCUUUUUCAUUUCUUCUCAAAUUACUCUCUAUCCAUGGCCACCGCCCCUGCGGCACUGAUGCAAUAUCUCGCAGACCCCAUUCUCUUCAAUAUCGCUCACUGCCUCCAAACCCAAACUGAACUCAGCCGUUUUCGCGCCGUCUGCAGCUCGUUCCGCUUCACCCUUCUUCUCCCCUCUCCGAAACUUGCUCCCGUUCAUUAUUACUAUGACCCCGGAAUCUCCGACCCUCCUUUGCAGCUCAUCAUUGCCGAAUCCACUGUCUAUGCCUUGCAAGCCCUUUCCCACGAGGCCCCUCCGUGGAUAGUCAAAGUUGAAAAAUCUAGCCAGGCGAAAUCCCGGGUCCGCGACCCCUUUUCUCGCCGCCAUUUUGAAGAACACGUUCUUGAAAUGUUGCCUCAGUCAGUGAACUUGCUGGAAUAUCGUGUGCAGGAAAUGGGUAAAGGCUAUAGAAUUGACUGGGUUCUGGAUGAACAUCCGAGACAGUUUAGUGGGUGGAAAUAUAUUUUGUUGCAAAAAGUUUGCCGUCUCUGUAGAUAAUGAUGAGUUAGCAGUCAUGGUUUUUCUGAAUUUGGAAUUGAUGGUUUGGAGGAGCUGUGAUAAGAAAUGGAUCGACUUGGGUUUUGGUGAUGUUGAUGUUCAGGAUAUUGUUUAUUAUAAGAAGCAGUUUCAUGUGGAAAUGUCAAAUGGGCAUAUUUUAAGCGUUAAUUCGGAGUCUUUGGAGCUAGACGAAGAAGAGGAAGAGUGGAUUGAAGUGAAGGAUUUGGAGGGUAGAGCAUUGUUUCUGUUUGAUGGAGGUAGCUUAUUUAUUUUGUCUAAAGAUUUUCCGGCAAUAAAACCAAAUUGUGUUUAUAUGGGUGAAACUGGUUUCUUUGUGGUUACAUAUGAUUUCCCCGGGAUGUAUGCUUCAAGUUUCAACUUCAGUGACGGUAGUAAUGAGUAGCUCGUAUCAUUUCCUGAAUCUUCUGAGAUUUUUGGUCCUGCACCAGCUUGGCUCUUCCCUGAAUGUGCGAAGACAUUUUAUCUAGGAAGUUUCUGGGAUCAACCACUUGAAGAGUGUUUCAUCAUCAAUGUGAAGAUUUGAUUACCAUCUUGGUCGGACCAUUUUAUUAGUUGGCACUACCAACUUGGUAGUUGUGUUGGUUUUAUUUUGUGAGCAUGUAUAUAUGCAUUAUGGGUCUUAAUGUUAUGAAACUAGAUUUGAGCUUGGUCAUUUAAUUCUCCUGUUAUGCCUUCAGACUCCUGUAUUUAAGCUUGGUCGUUUCCUCUACUUUUUGAGCUGCUAAUACUGUCCUGAUGAGCUUAGAGUCUUUCAAAUUAUUGUUGUGAUGAUAAUUGGAGGAGUGUUGAAGCCACAUUAGGACUGCAAAUGAGGUGAGAUGCUCUCAAACUGCACAUGGCUUGGCUUAUAUCAAGCGGAGCUGUGCUUGUAGUUGUUUUGAUUUUAAAUAUGAGGAUAAUUGAUUAAUAUC